GACGUAGGGGGCGAGCGUUGUCCGGAAUUACUGGGCGUAAAGAGCACGUAGGCGGGAACUUAAGUCAGGUGUGAAAGACCGUGGCUCAACCACGGGUAUGCAUUUGAAACUGGGUUUCUUGAGGGCAGGAGAGGAAAGCAGAAUUCCUGGUGUAGCGGUGAAAUGCGUAGAAAUCAGGAGGAAUACCAGUGGCGAAGGCGGCUUUCUGGACUGACCCUGACGCUGAGGUGCGAAAGCGUGGGUAGCAAACAGG
This 253-nucleotide ribosomal RNA is filed under the name uncultured Syntrophomonas sp. RNAcentral's name for it is "partial 16S ribosomal RNA". It matches the Rfam family "Bacterial small subunit ribosomal RNA", at positions 524 to 776 of the family's 1533-position model. The record is from RNAcentral. Lineage: Bacteria; Bacillati; Bacillota; Clostridia; Eubacteriales; Syntrophomonadaceae.